Long non-coding RNA from Manihot esculenta (cassava), 401 nucleotides. RefSeq lists it as uncharacterized. NCBI's taxonomy places the organism in Eukaryota, Viridiplantae, Streptophyta, Magnoliopsida, Malpighiales, Euphorbiaceae. The record is from RefSeq and is a predicted model, not a curated record. The transcript has 3 exons.
AAUAGAUUGAAAGGGAUAAUUAACAUUGAAGAGUUCAAUCAUCUAAUAAGUUUGGAGGAGUUGUAUUUAUCAGCUAAUGCAAUUGAAGGCUUCAUAUCUUCAAAUGGUAAAUUUAUCUUUUACUUCUUUCAUCAUUUUUUUCUUAAAUUAGCUAUAAACAAAUAAUAACUUGUACAGGUAGUGAGGAAUUAUCGAAAUUGAGCAAUUUGGAGCAUUUUGAUUUGAGUUAUAAUCACGUUAAUAUCAGCCUUUUAUCACCAUUCAUUAGGCUUCCAUCUCUCAGAUAUUUAGAUUUAGGAUAUAAUCAAUUGGAAGGACUAUUCAAUUUCAAAGAAUUGGGCAAAAGCAAGCUAGUGGCAUUGGACUUGAGCGGCAAUAUCGUUACAGAAUUUGUAGACUCA